Non-coding RNA from Vicugna pacos (alpaca), 1824 nucleotides. Lineage: Eukaryota; Metazoa; Chordata; Mammalia; Artiodactyla; Camelidae. The record is from RefSeq and is a predicted model, not a curated record.
GAGGUCGGAGGAAGGUGUGGGGACCAAGGAUGGGGGAAGGAACUGCUCCAGACACACUGCAAAGAACGGCAAGAGGUGACCGAUUAGAACGGGAUGGGAGGCAGAUCGGCCGGUGCACACCCAGCUCUGCGUGCUUGGGCCAGUGUCCUGAUGUUCUGAGCCUCGGUUUCCUCCCCUGUAAAGAGGUUGCAGUCAGGAAACCUACCUUGUAUAGAGGGUUGUUACACGUGUGGGCUCCACGGUUAAUUGGCGUAAAGUCCUUAAAACAGGAACUGGCGCCCGCUAAGCAGCGCUGUCUAAGGGAAGGUUCUGCACAGAUAGAGAUGUUCUGUAUUCGCGCGUCCGGUGGGUGGCCACGGGCUACGUGCGGCUGUUGGGGAUUUGACGUGUGGCUACUCUGGACGUGGAAUUGGAUUUUUAGCUGUGUUUAAUUUAACUAGAAUAUUAGAGUUCCAUGUGGCUACUGCGUUGGACGGUGCAGUUCUAAAGCCUUAGCCAUUUUCGUUAUACAGACUAAGAUUCUCUUGUAUUCUCUUGUAUGGGGCCUCUUAAAAGCCCCACAUUAACAAUAACAGUAGCAACCACAGCACUUACGGGUCUGUUUUAAGUGCCAGAGAUCCUCCUAAGCAGUUGAUGUGAAUUAAGCCUUUGAAUCCACCGUGAGAAGUGCCCUCCACUGAAUAUAACCAGUCUUACUACCGCUCGAGUGUGCACUUUGUGACAGCCGCCCCCCGCCUCCCACCAGAAACUCUUGACACACAUAUCAUGUCAUUUAACUGCAGGAGGAGAGGCUUAGGUAUAAUAAAUGUGGGAACGGCCACAGGACAGCGUCAGCAAGGUGGGGGUAACACGUGGCUGCGUUUUUAUCUCUAUUUGGAUCUGAGCUAGAAGGUCCAAGCUCAGAGCUCACAGAGAUGAAACAGGCAGAGCAGAAUUCGCCUGCCAUGAAGGCGGUGGCCACCAUCUCAGGGCACCUGUGUGGUCUUAGGACAGGAGCCCUCAUGCUACUUCUUCCCAUAAGCUGUUUUUUUUUUUUUCAUUGCUCUUCCCACCCUUUAUCUUUCCUUUUUUAUUUAUAACUUUUUCAUUUUGAAUAUUAAAAAUGACCAUGAUUUUUCUUUUUUGUAGCUCCUGCUCUCUGGAGCUAGACUCUGUCUUCCCAUUCCCUGAAUAUGUGCUGUCUUUGUGGGUUGCUUUGACCAAGAGAAUAUGGCAGCAGUGAUGCUGUAGGAUUUUGGAGGUUAGUAACCUGCUGAUUCCGACACCAGUUUCAAUGUGUGUGUUUUUUCCCCCUACACUACCAAGCAAUCUCGGGCCCCAGCUGGGAGUUGGAGACACUGUCUACCUGAAGAUGGCAUCAUUUAGCAAUGACUAACUGAUACACCUUCCUAGAAUGAGUUUCCUGCUGACACUUCCCUCACCAAUGUCAAAACGUAUUGAUAAAUCAGGAUUUCCUGCUGAGCUCACUUCAUCAGCACCAGUCUCUGCUCUAGAGUCCACCUGUCCCACAGCCCGGAGAGUUUUGUUUCCAGCCAACAUCAGGGUUUUCCUAGGAGCAUGGGUACUUUGAGGGAGAGAAAAAGAAAAGAGAGUCUCCAAGUAGUGGGCCAGGGAUUCAGCACCACGGACAGCUCAUGAGCGCCCGGUUCAGCACCGCGGACAGCGCCAGGAACCUACUUUUCGCACCGCCUCUACUAGAUGCAUGUGCUCUUCUGAGCAGAGUCCUCAAUCCACUCCCAACCCUCAUCUCCAGAGUCUCCAAAUGCUGAUAUAUGAGUUAUCCAGGCUGUCCCGUGUGUUAACCUCAGAAACAUCGGCAUCAAA